RNAcentral lists this ribosomal RNA (735 nucleotides) under Triticum aestivum (bread wheat). RNAcentral's name for it is "partial small subunit ribosomal RNA". Lineage: Eukaryota; Viridiplantae; Streptophyta; Magnoliopsida; Poales; Poaceae. The record is from RNAcentral.
AUGAAGGGGCGGUUGGGAGCUCUGAAAGGUUCUACGGCUGCUUGUGCAGAGAGCCCCUCUACACCCAAGAAUCCCAUUGUGGAAUUGAUAGACAGCGAUGAUGAUGCGUUUGACAAGAUUGCUGGCAUGGGAAGAGUCACCAGGAGCGCUGCUGCAAAGGGUUUAUCUCCCCUUGCUGGAAUAGUGGCCCGUAGAGCUGGUGCUGCUAGGAAGGACCCUGCUUUGGAUUCUGGCAAUGUUACAAGCACGAAGCAUGCGCCCAGAGCUCCUAUGAAGUUUUGCUCCCCUGUGCAGCAGCUUCAACUUCAUAAAUUCCCUCAUCUAGACAAGGCUCACAAGUUGUAUAAUCUGUUGCUUAGUUAUGAAGCAUGUGAGAAGUAUGCCGAGAAUACAUUCUCAAUGAUACCUCAGCCUGAUGAUAGCGUAACUAGCUUCACUGGGAAACGCAUCUGCGAAGUUUUUGCACCUAGGCAAAUGAUGGAGGGUGAUGUAAUGGACUUCCUCAUUGAUGAUUGGAAGAAAGAUCCCGAGAGAAAUGCUGAUUUUGCGUCUAGAAAAAGGGUAUUGCUGAGUCCAUAUUUCAUCACGGUUGUGCUUGACUGUAUGUUUUACGGUGAUGAAAAUAAUGCAGCGAGAGAUUUCAAGAGCUAUGUUAAAGAUAAGGAAGACUUGCUCAGUGCCGACCUUAUCUCUAGAUUGGUCCAAGUAAUGAAGGCUGUGUAUGGUGAUGCUUAG